GCCAGCUUAGAUUUUUUUUUUUCUGUCUGCAGAUGUCUGUUUUCCUUAUUGGAUCCUCAAAACUGCUGAGCUGAUUUUAAUAUUUGGGGGGAAAAAAAAAAACUUACUCCUAGGCUGUAAACCUGCAUGACGAAUUCCAGCCCAGAGCAACAUUUUAUGAUCCAGUGUCAAGUUCUUGAAAAAUGAAAAAUGAGAGGAAAGAGAGAUUUAACUGUAAUGUGGAUACAUUUUGGACUGGAUGUUAACCAAUUGAAUAAGAGCUCCAGACAUUGCUGGAAGCAGAGAUGGACAAGAUGUUACCCAUACUGGUUUGGGACCCAUGACCCAUUUACCCCAAGGAGAAAUUAUCCAUGUGCCAGGCUGGCUUAGCACCCAGACCCUCAAACAAACAUUCCACCAUCCUGCUUGAGGAGUAAGCUUUUACACGAACUGUCCUCAGCACCAUUUGGAAAUGUCUUUGUCUUACUGGUGAAAAACUGGCCUAAGGAUUUUAAUACUGAAGUUCACAGUUAAGCGGACAAGGGGCUGGACACUUCCCUUGAAAUUUUCUACAUGGAACAACCCUUUUCUACCCCAUCUCCAGUUUACUUCAUGUUUUCCUAUGCUCACCUUCCUUUGUGUACUGAGGCACAGAGUCCACUUCUGAUGGGUGUGAGAAGCUAAAAGAAAUUCAAAUAAUACAUAUUUGGUCAACUUGAUGCAAAAUACCGGAUGUGAUAGUGGUUAUGGCCAUCGCCGAAGAGUAGAACAUGGAACCAAUCCACGGAAUUGGAGAGAUGCAGUAAAUGCAUUUGCAGAGCUGUUACCUCUGCCCCGCCUGCUCCCCCACUCACUGAGAGGGCAGAUGAAGACACUUUCUCCCCUGUCUCUGGCUGCGGACGGUCCAGGCACUGCCACCUCAGUGCUCCCUCCUCAGGUACCAACCUCUUCGCUGCAUGGUUUCAAAAGGCAGAUAAGCCAAUGGCCCUAGACCUGCCUUCCAGAAGAGAUCGGAGUGAGCCCCAUGUUUAUCCGAAGGAGUGCUGAAUAGUCAAGUAUCAGGUGAUUUGAGCCCCCCUAGAAUUUGCUAAUGAAAUAAAGCCUUUUUUCUUCUAAACAAAAUUACUUUUAGGUAAAUGAAUAUGUUGACACCUCAAAUAAGGUGUGCUCUGCCACAUGAGAAAAAACAAGUGUUUUUAUCCUUGUAAUUAUCCAUUUUGAUCACUCUUUCUAUUCAAGGAAUCGCUUCUAAAACUGAAUGCAUGUGAAACAUACAAAAGAACAAUUAGAUAAAGAAAAUCCUUUAAUAUAAAAAAGUUGCAAGAUUAAAG
RNAcentral lists this long non-coding RNA (1310 nucleotides) under Ailuropoda melanoleuca (giant panda). Its description in RNAcentral is "lncRNA (ENSAMEG00000028526.1)". Lineage: Eukaryota; Metazoa; Chordata; Mammalia; Carnivora; Ursidae. The record is from RNAcentral.